UGCAAGUCGAACGAAGUCUUCGGACUUAGUGGCGCACGGGUGAGUAACACGUGGGAAUAUACCUCUCAGUGGGGGAUAACGUCGGGAAACUGACGCUAAUACCGCAUACGCCCUUCGGGGGAAAGAUUUAUCGCUGAGAGAUUAGCCCGCGUCCGAUUAGCUAGUUGGUAAGGUAAUGGCUUACCAAGGCAACGAUCGGUAGCUGGUCUGAGAGGAUGAUCAGCCACACUGGGACUGAGACACGGCCCAGACUCCUACGGGAGGCAGCAGUGGGGAAUAUUGGACAAUGGGCGAAAGCCUGAUCCAGCCAUGCCGCGUGAGUGAUGAAGGCCUUAGGGUUGUAAAGCUCUUUCGACGGGGACGAUGAUGACGGUACCCGUAGAAGAAGCCCCGGCUAACUUCGUGCCAGCAGCCGCGGUAAUACGAAGGGGGCUAGCGUUGUUCGGAAUUACUGGGCGUAAAGCGCACGCAGGCGGUGAUCAUAGUCAGAAGUGAAAGCCCUGGGCUCAACCCGGGAAUUGCUUUUGAUACUGGGUCACUAGAAUCACGGAGAGGGUAGUGGAAUUCCGAGUGUAGAGGUGAAAUUCGUAGAUAUUCGGAAGAACACCAGUGGCGAAGGCGACUACCUGGCCGUCGAUUGACGCUCAUGUGCGAAAGCGUGGGGAGCAAACAGGAUUAGAUACC
This 684-nucleotide ribosomal RNA is filed under the name uncultured bacterium. RNAcentral's name for it is "bacterial SSU rRNA". It matches the Rfam family "Bacterial small subunit ribosomal RNA", at positions 56 to 786 of the family's 1533-position model. The record is from RNAcentral.